Molecule: ribosomal RNA, 465 nt
Filed under: uncultured bacterium
Lineage: Bacteria
Description: partial 16S ribosomal RNA
Rfam family: Bacterial small subunit ribosomal RNA
Source: RNAcentral
CCUACGGGGCGCAGCAGUGGGGAAUAUUGCGCAAUGGGCGAAAGCCUGACGCCGCGACGCCGCGUGAGGGAUGAAGGUCUUCGGAUCGUAAACCUCUGUCAGCAGGGAAGAACGGUCACUGUGCUAAUCAGCAGUGAAUUGACGGUACCUGCAAAGGAAGCACCGGCUAACUCCGUGCCCGCAGCCGCGGUAAUACGGAGGGUGCGUGCGUUAAUCGGAAUUACUGGGCGUAAAGCGCUCGUAGGCGGUAUGUCAAGUCAAGGGUGAAAUCCCCGCGCUCAACGUGGGAACUGCCUUUGAAACUGGCAAACUGGAGUGUGUGAGAGGAUAGUGGAAUUCCAGGUGUAGGAGGGAAAUCCGUAGAUAUCUGGAGGAACAUCAGUGGCGAAGGCGACUAUCUGGCACAUAACUGACGCUGAGGAGCGAAAGCGUGGGUAGCAAACAGGAUUAGAUACCCUAGUAGUC